CCAGAUCUACCACUGCCUCCUGCCGUUCGUCCUCGCCGCUGCCAGCGCUGCGCCGCCAGCCCCUCAGCCUCCAUCACCAUCUCUCCCUCCAUUGUCCCCUUUCCGGCGAUGAACCAGCAUGCCAACGCCGCUCCAACAUUGCCACGAGACCCCCUGCUCUCCAACCUCCUCCGUGAACCAAUCGUCGCCGCCCCAGGUCAUCUCCGUUGUCCACCCGCCACCAACCUUCUCCGUGCCGUUGAUCCGUUUGUCAAAAAAGAGAUGGGUUUUCAAAAACCCAUCCACAGGUUUGCCUAAAUAUUUAAAUGUUUGUGUUUAAUUUUAAUCUCUUUUCCCCUUCUUUAACAGAUUUCGGACUCUGAAUUAGCAAUGUAUGAAUGAUUUAUUUCAUCCGAUUCUUUGCCAUUUUGUGUGCUUAUGUUUUAAGACUACCAGAUGUGAAAAAUCCAAAUUUUAAUAAUGAUCAAUUUUGUCAUAGUUUGCUAAUUCCGAAUUUUGAAAUUAUCCAUCUUCUUCGAAUUAGUUGACAAAUUUCUCGGCUCGUGAUUAUAACGGAGAACAUUUGACUGCGUAUUAUAUUUUUAUGGUUGGAUUGAUCUUGUGAUAAUUUGAAUAAGAUUUUGGUAAAGAACAUCUGAUUGUGUAUCACGUUUCUUGAAUUACAUCGUGGACUGAUUUUUGUACAAUUGAUGAUUUGAAUUAGGUACAAAAAUAAUUAGGGAUUAUUUUACAAAAUUAAUUGCUCAUAAUUUAUUUAUGGUAAAUUGAACAAAUUUUCUCAUCCCUAAUUGACCCUAAUUGAUUAUCGAUCUCUUAAUUGAUUAGUGAUUG
RNAcentral lists this long non-coding RNA (831 nucleotides) under Capsicum annuum. Its description in RNAcentral is "long non-coding RNA (CANN_LNC006765)". Lineage: Eukaryota; Viridiplantae; Streptophyta; Magnoliopsida; Solanales; Solanaceae. The record is from RNAcentral.